GAGUUUGAUCCUGGCUCAGAUUGAACGCUGGCGGCAGGCCUAACACAUGCAAGUCGAGCGGAUGACGGGAGCUUGCUCCUUGAUUCAGCGGCGGACGGGUGAGUAAUGCCUAGGAAUCUGCCUGGUAGUGGGGGACAACGUUUCGAAAGGAACGCUAAUACCGCAUACGUCCUACGGGAGAAAGCAGGGGACCUUCGGGCCUUGCGCUAUCAGAUGAGCCUAGGUCGGAUUAGCUAGUUGGUGGGGUAAUGGCUCACCAAGGCGACGAUCCGUAACUGGUCUGAGAGGAUGAUCAGUCACACUGGAACUGAGACACGGUCCAGACUCCUACGGGAGGCAGCAGUGGGGAAUAUUGGACAAUGGGCGAAAGCCUGAUCCAGCCAUGCCGCGUGUGUGAAGAAGGUCUUCGGAUUGUAAAGCACUUUAAGUUGGGUAGGAAGGGCAGUAAGUUAAUAACCUUGCUGUUUUGACGUUUACGGACAGAAUAAGCACCGGCUAACUCUGUGCCAGCAG
Molecule: ribosomal RNA, 513 nt
Filed under: bacterium enrichment culture clone ALO1_GLFRUDD03FNC89
Lineage: Bacteria
Description: bacterial SSU rRNA
Rfam family: Bacterial small subunit ribosomal RNA
Source: RNAcentral